RNAcentral lists this ribosomal RNA (468 nucleotides) under uncultured bacterium. Its description in RNAcentral is "partial 16S ribosomal RNA". It matches the Rfam family "Bacterial small subunit ribosomal RNA", at positions 28 to 507 of the family's 1533-position model. The record is from RNAcentral.
GACGAACGCUGGCGGCGUGCUUAACACAUGCAAGUCGAACGGAAAGGCCCUGCUUUCGUGGUGUGCUCGAGUGGCGAACGGGUGAGUAACACGUGAGUAACCUGCCCUUGACUUUGGGAUAACUUCAGGAAACUGGGGCUAAUACCGGAUAGGAGCUCCUGCUGCAUGGUGGGGGUUGGAAAGUUUCGGCGGUUGGGGAUGGACUCGCGGCUUAUGAGCUUGUUGGUGGGGUAGUGGCUUACCAAGGCUUUGACGGGUAGCCGGCCUGGGAGGGUGACCGGCGACAAUGGGCCUGAGAGACGGCCCAGAGUGGUACGGGAGGCAGCAGUGGGGAGUAUGGCACAAUGGGCGGAAGCCUGAUGCAGCAGCGCCGCGUGCGGGAUGACGGCCUUCGGGUUGUAAACCGCUUUCGCCUGUGACGAAGCGUGAGUGACGGUAAUGGAUAAAGAAGCACCGGCUAACUACGUG